Vigna radiata var. radiata (mung bean) is the source of this 2111-nucleotide long non-coding RNA. RefSeq lists it as uncharacterized. The record is from RefSeq and is a predicted model, not a curated record. The transcript is spliced from 6 exons. Lineage: Eukaryota; Viridiplantae; Streptophyta; Magnoliopsida; Fabales; Fabaceae.
AUUUUAAAAAUUAAAAACACUCCCAUGUGGAAUUUUUCACGGGUUAUCCUGUCUGCUCAUUCUAUCUUGUCUUCUCCUUUCGGUUCUCUUCUUUGCUUCUCAUGUCAUUGGGUUCUUCUUUCUUCUCCUUCCCCGUUAUCUCCUUUCCUUCUCAUUAUCUCUGGGUUCUUCUCGUUCACGUUUGCCACUAUGCUAUCGCUUAGACCCGAAACCCUACCCUUGUCAGUGCGCUNGCUAGGGUUUCAUUUCACCUUCUCCGAACAAUGUCGCUCCCGCAUGCUCAAUUGAAACCAAUUGCAUCACUCAGAAAUUCGGUGGAGCCAAUUCCCUAGAAGAUGAUAUGACAUCGUGCUCGCGGACCAAGCCUCUUCUUCUGCCCUUUCCGAUGCUUCUCCACUACCACGCCGUCGUCGUUCUCUUCGAUGUUUUCAAAAUCCAAAACAACUUUCGCGAGCACGAAGCCUCUGAUGACUCACUCGGAUACCCUAAAAUGUAACACUCACGUGCCUGCUCUCAAUUUUAAGGUUUGCUUGGUAAUCUGUUUAAUUUUGGCACUAAUCGCUUUUAUUGUCGAGCUAGAAAGAAUAACUUUGUGUAUAAAAUGGUGAACCAAUCAGACAUCUUNAUUAGAGGGAAAAUUUUAUAUAAUCGUUUAUAGAAAUUGGGGCUUGACAUUGACCCUGAUAAUCUACGUUGUAAAGGUCUGCACGAAUGUCUAUAGGUUAUCAAGUUGGAGCUUCAACUCUAAUUUUGAUUAGAGAAUAAUACUGUAAGGGUGUCUUUUAUUUCCAUUCUAUGAAACUGCUUUUGUGUGUAACUUAACUAGGUUGCUUCUAAUUGUAAUUACAAUAGUGAUAUUAUUAGUAGGUAAGUUGUUUAUAUGCUCCGCUUCUUGAGUGUUUUGUAUUUUUAUUAUUAUUUAUUAUCAUUUGUCCAGUCUAUAAUUGCAACUUUUGUAUAUUAGUUUUGAAUUUUACUUUACCCUGAAGCUUGUUUGGUCUAAUGUGUCAAAAAGCUUUUUUUCUUUUUUUUGGAACAAAAUGCAGAAGCUUGUACUUUUAAUCUUAAUGUUUAUAAUUUUACUGCGAUUUCUGAAUUACGCAACAAAGGUUGGAAGGAAAUAGUUUUUUGUGACAUUUUUCCUUUUAUGUCUGCAUCUAGAAGGACAUUUCUUCUUUUUAUAGGAUUUUCAUAGCACUAAUGUUGCAGAAGUCAUUGAAUGGAAAAUAAUCUUAAUAGUAGCACAAAGGAAAAAAAAAUGAAGUCUAGGGGUGCCUUGGUACGGCCUGAAUCGUUCUGGGAAAUCUUUUCAGUGUGAUAGACUAGUUUGGAGGGACAAAGGAUCUCUGCCGAAUUAUGGAGAUUUCCUAACAGAACUACAAAUGUUGGGCAAAUGAUAUAUGCUUAUCUUAGUAACACAUCUUAGUUGGAUGGGAAAAAAGGUCGUACAUCCAUCAAGAUAUACUACUAUGUGCAUGUACAAAAACGUUCAAAUAGGCUUCAUGAUGAACUUUCCUUCAAGAUAGGUGUUUUCUGAUUUAGAACAUUCAGUAAGUAGAAUGGUCCACCGACAGGUUGCCAUAAUUGCUUGGUUGGAAGCUGAUUUUGUUUGUGGCAGCCACUUGUCGCUUGCCUUAUCUUUUCUGCGUAAACCAAUGCCUCUUAUAACAGAGUUGAAAAAUGUAAUUCAAGAGAUGAAGUCACUCAAACUGGAAAAGCUUAAGAAGCCCGUGACUUAGUGAGAAUUCUUAUUUUUUAAUCAGUGUCCAAAUUAUUCAACGACAAUGAUUGUGGAUAUUACUUGUGUCGAUAUAUGAUGAAAAUUAUCACAUACUGUGAAGGAGGGACAAUUCCAAUUAAUUCCUUUUCUAGUUGCAGAUGUCAAUCAUUUCGUGACAAUCAAAUCAUUAAAGUUAGAGAAUAUUGGUGUUUAUAUGUAAUUAAUACAUCUUAUAUGUUAUGUUAUGAUGAUAUACAUGCCUAUAAGUACAAAUAGGAUAUACAUGCUAUGAUUGUAUAUAUUGUUUUAUGAAGUAAUAUGAUGUCAUGACAUGUACUAGAUGACUCGACAAUAUAUUUUAUAAUAUUAUUGUACCAAUAGUUUUUAUUCA